GAGUAGUUAAAAGAUAGAACAAUCUAAUCAAGUGCCAUGUUUCUUAUUCUUGAUCAGCUAUAGCUCUGGAGUUUUUGUAGAUUUUCAAAUAAAACUCAGAGAUUCCUUGUAUGACUCUCUUAGAUCUCUCUUUUGUGGUAUUUCUGGAUCCUUACCAAGGCAAUGAUGGUGUAUGCCUUCUCUCUCACCCUACUCUAAUAAGGUUUUGAUAUCUGGAGCUCAUAGGUGGGAGACAACUAAUACAUACUUACAAGACAUUUAUUGCAUAGUCAAACCAUGGAUCUAGAAGAACAAGUCAAUAAGUCAAAUCAAGAUGUGCAUGUAUGGCAAAUGAAUGGUGUAUGGUAAUGAUGGUGAUAAUGGUGAAAAUAAUGGUGAGAGUCUAAUUCUACUUUUGCUCUUUUGAGGGGAUACAUACCUUUCUUGCACUUUGAAGCAUUUUUGAGGGGGAAUGAGGUGCUCUAUAUUUUCUUUUUCUUUUCUCUCAGGUGGGUAUCUUGUACCCCUAAUUCUACUGUCGGACACUUGUCCAUUUUUACCUCUCGUCUCACUUUUUCUUUUCUUCGAGGUUCCGAGCACUUGCCCCUUUUUAUUUCCUCGUAUUCACUUUUUUUUCAAAGCACUCACCCUUCUGGAAUAAUAUAGCAAGUGGUAGUAACCAAAAUAUCUUGAGCAUUUAUUUCACGGGGAAUAACAGGGAUAGGAUAAUGUUUUUGGCUAUUCUCUCCCGGAUAGGAGUAAAAUAAUUUUGGGUGAAUUUGGAGAUGAAAAUGAGUGGAUGUAUGUGG
RNAcentral lists this long non-coding RNA (788 nucleotides) under Sorghum bicolor (sorghum). Its description in RNAcentral is "long non-coding RNA (SBIC_LNC008579)". Lineage: Eukaryota; Viridiplantae; Streptophyta; Magnoliopsida; Poales; Poaceae. The record is from RNAcentral.